GAUGAACGCUGGCGGCGUGCCUAAUACAUGCAAGUCGAGCGAACGGACGAGAAGCUUGCUUCUCUGAUGUUAGCGGCGGACGGGUGAGUAACACGUGGAUAACCUACCUAUAAGACUGGGACAACUUCGGGAAACCGGAGCUAAUACCGGAUAAUAUUUUGAACCGCAUGGUUCAAAAGUGUAUGACGGUCUUGCUGUCACUUAUAGAUGGAUCCGCGCUGCAUUAGCUAGUUGGUAAGGUAACGGCUUACCAAGGCAACGAUGCAUAGCCGACCUGAGAGGGUGAUCGGCCACACUGGAGCUGAGACACGGUCCAGGCUCCUACGGGAGGCCGCAGUAGGGAAUGUUCCGCGAUGGGCGGAAGCCUGACGGAGCGGCGCCGCGUGGGUGAUGAGGGUCUUCGGGUCGUAAGACUCUGUUAUUAGGGAAGAACAUAUGUGUAAGUAACUGAGCACAUCGUGACGGUACCUAAUCAGAAAGCCACGGCUAACUACGUG
RNAcentral lists this ribosomal RNA (497 nucleotides) under uncultured bacterium. RNAcentral's name for it is "partial 16S ribosomal RNA". It matches the Rfam family "Bacterial small subunit ribosomal RNA", at positions 28 to 507 of the family's 1533-position model. The record is from RNAcentral.